CAACAUUUAUUAUGAUAACAUUUGCCAUGUGAUCCAUAGGAAUAGGUUAAACAUACCAUACAACACUCGUAAUCGUGAUCAAGACAACCCGCCAACCAAUCAUAACAAACAAGAUUUUCGGUCAAAUUAAUUCCCCCUGCUGAUCAAAAUUAUCAUUAAAUAUCGUAUGCGCAUUAUAAUUAUGAAUACAAUAAAUAUUCAAUAAAUUUCUUUCAAAUGUUGCUCCUUGCUUAAAUAGAAGCGGUUAUAUUGAGUUUUGUGAGUUUAAGUCACUUGAUUUGAUAGGACAUUGUAUUAUAUACGUAGAGACUGAAGUUUGAAUCUCUGUUAUCCUACUUAUUCACCUCAAUAAUAGAAUUUUUACUUGACCAACAAAAAAAAAAGGUUGUAUUGCAAAAACAAGAACAACAUGGAUCUAAGCAUAUGAAAUGAUAAUUUAUUUGAUAAUAAAUUUUCAUAUUUUCUAAAUAAUUAAAUUUUAUUAAUAAACUUAAAAUAUGAUAAUAUUUUCUUGAGUGAUAUAAAAUCUAAAAUAAACCUGGAGUUGUGAACCUAAUAAGCACUAAACAGAAAAUUGCUUUUACUGAUAACACAAAGUAGACAUAGGUGAAAUAAUAUUUAAGAAAUAUAAUUUAUAUGCAUUUCAAAUAAAAAAAUAUGAAAAAAAUAAUAAUUUUGUUCCUGUCUCCUUAGAAAUCAAGGACACAGUAGUACAAUCCUAUAGAACAAAUCAUGUUCAAGUAAGAUCGUAAUAUGAAAAAAAAUAUAUUGAAUAUAUUUUUUUGAAAGGAUAUAUUGAAUAUAUUUGAUAAAAUAUAUAUUAUCUAAAAAAUUUAAGAAACAUUAGACAUUUGAAAUACAUAAUAUAUGCAUUUUCAAAGAAACGGUUUUUCAAAACAAAAAAUAUUUUGUAUUUCAAAUACCAUUUCACAUACUAUCAUGAUAAAAUUCAAGUUUUGGAUGUACUAAAAAAAAAAAAUUCAAGUUUUGGAGUUAUGAAGUUAGUAUGUUACCUGAAAUUACAAUUGAGGCAAUGCACAAAAUUGCAAAGGUAAAGUAGAGACUUUUGGCAUGGAUGGACAUUUUUCUUUGAAAUAUUGAAAAGCAACUCCUUCCAUUAUACUAUAUAAGGUGGCUAGAGAAGAUAAUGAAAUGUUUGUUUAUUUGUUUUUACCAAAGGUAGUUGAUUGUAUUAAAAAUAAUAAAG
Molecule: long non-coding RNA, 1207 nt
Filed under: Trifolium pratense (red clover)
Lineage: Eukaryota; Viridiplantae; Streptophyta; Magnoliopsida; Fabales; Fabaceae
Description: long non-coding RNA (TPRA_LNC012495)
Source: RNAcentral